Quercus lobata is the source of this 2917-nucleotide RNA transcript. It is a transcript of the gene named ion channel CASTOR-like, with no coding region annotated. The record is from RefSeq and is a predicted model, not a curated record. Lineage: Eukaryota; Viridiplantae; Streptophyta; Magnoliopsida; Fagales; Fagaceae. The transcript has 10 exons.
AAACACAACUCCUUAUUCUUCUUCUUCAUCAAUUCUAUUCUCCCUUUGUCAAGAAGCUCAAAGAGAGAGAGGAAGAGAGAGAGAAAGAGAGAGAAUUUCUGAGAGAAAAAUCUGUGAUAAUUCUUCAAUAUGAAUUGAGAAUCGAAGAAUUGUAUGAGUACACAGCAAAGACGAACAAACGAGAAAGAGAAAAAUCAUAAAUCAUGCGACGUGCUUUAUGGUUUUAUGUAUUCUGGUGUAAUUUCCUUUUAUAAUUGUUAUUGUGAAUACUUCUUGCGAUAGUUGGAAUCUAAUUGUAUUUUUUUUCAUAUUUGCACAAGUUUUAGUCACUAGUAAAUUGAUUCCAACAUCUUUUUAAGUAAAUAUUUGUAUAUUGUUAUUCUGUAGUAUGUUUAGAAAUUUGAUUGGGCCAUAAUGGAUUGUAGUUGUUUUCUCAACUACCUUCACAAUAUUUAUUUAGUUUGACUAAUCUUUCUAUAUAUUUUAUUUGUGUUCUUUGAAAUUUGAAUAUAAUGGAGUCAUUCUAUAUCUUGAAAUAUGAAAGGAAUUGAGGGCAGAAAAAGAGCAAGACACAGAGAGAGACACUCUGUGAGUGUGUUUUGUGUAUUACGUAGUGUCAUUAAUGUCCCUUGUCAUAUAUGUUAAAUUGGUUAGAGUCUGAACAGCUUUUUCUUUGGAAACUGGGUUUUAACUUCUUUUAUGAUAGAUAAUUUCAUGUAUCAUAAUGUCUUAUAUUUCAUGUUAUAACUUAUAACUAUGAGAUUUACUCAUAAGCAAUUUAGUUAUACUCCUGCCUAAUCAGCCAUCAUUUCUUGAUAUCAAGUAACUAAUAAUGCUUGGUCAAUGUCAUUGCUAGUUUGCAUCAUUUACACUUCUAGUAUUCUUUAGUAACAAAUCAAGGUAGUUAUAGUUGGGUGAGACGUAUAUCAAAUUCCUGCCAUGGUAUUUAUAUCUGAAAAAGAAAUUAGAAAUCACCUAAAAGCUUGACAUUGCUAAGAUGGAAUUCAAUUUUAAAAGAACAUCAGUGAUAUGCCGAAGUGGGAGCCCUCUGAUUCUAGCUGACCUGAAAAAGGUAGCUGUCUCCAAGGCCCGUGCAAUCAUUGUCCUUGCUGAAGAUGGAAAUGGUGACCAGAGUGAUGCUCGUGCACUUAGAACAGUUUUAAGUCUAACUGGAGUUAAGGAAGGGCUUAGAGGACACAUAGUUGUGGAACUUAGUGAUCUUGACAACGAGGUCCUUGUUAAACUUGUUGGCGGAGAUCUUGUACAAACUUUUGUGGCUCAUGAUGUAAUUGGUCGUUUGAUGAUUCAAUGUGCUCGGCAGCCAGGACUUGCACAGAUCUGGGAAGAUAUUCUUGGGUUUGAAAAUUGUGAGUUCUACACCAAGAGAUGGCCAUAGUUGGAUGGCAUGCAAUUUGAGGAUGUCUUAAUUAGUUUUCCUGAUGCCAUUCCUUGUGGAGUCAAGGUUGCAUCAUAUGGUGGUAAAAUUGUUCUUAAUCCGGAGGAUUCCUAUGUCCUACAAGAAGGCGAUGAAGUUCUUGUUAUAGCUGAGGAUGAUGACACCUAUUCUCUAGCAGCACUGCCUACGGUCAAAGAAGCAUCAUUCAAAAAAAUUGCCCGACCAGUUUGGAGAGGAAGUCUACCCAAAGAUUUUUUUGUUCCAAAAUCUACAGAAAAGAUACUUUUAUGUGGUUGGCGACGAGAUAUGGAGGAUAUGAUUAUGGUAUUGGAUGCGUUUCUAGCACCUGGUUCAGAGCUUUGGAUGUUCAAUGAUGUUCUUGAAAAGGAGAGGGAGAAGAAGCUUACUGAUGGUGGACUUGACAUAAACCGAUUGGUGAAUAUAUCCUUGGUUCAUCGCGAGGGAAAUGCUGUAAUAUGGCGUCAUUUAAAAAGCCUUCCCCUGCAAUCUUUUGAUUCAAUCUUGAUUCUAGCUGAUGAAUCUGUGGAAGAUUCUGCAAUUCAAGCCGAUUCCAGAUCUCUUGCCACAUUACUAUUAAUUCGUGACAUUUAGGCAAAACGUCUCCCAUUCAGAUACUCAAGUUCAUAGAGGAAGCUUCUCACAAGGGUCUUGGAUAGGAGAUAUGCAGCAAGCUUCAGAUAAAUCAGUUAUAAUCAGUGAAAUUCUGGAUCCAAGGAAAAAAAAUUUAUUAUCCAUGUCAAAGAUCAGCGAUUAUGUUUUAUCAAAUGAGCUUGUCAGCAUGGCACUGGCCAUGGUUGCAGAGGAUCGACAAAUAAAUGAUGUAUUAGAAGAGCUCUUUGCUGAGGAGGGGAAUGAGAUGCAUAUAAGACAAGCAGAUCUCUAUCUUCGUGAAGGUGAGGAAUUGAGUUUCUAUGAGAUACUCUUACGAGCCCGACAAAGGAGGAAGAUUGUGAUUGGUUAUCGUUUUGCCAAUGCUGAGAGAGUUGUCAUCAAUCCCCCUGCUAAAAGCGAGAGACGAAGGUGGUCAUUGAAGGAUGUAUUUGUGGUUUGCUGAGAAAGAUGAGUGAUGAAAUAGGGUAUCGUUGAAAGGAAAGAAAUUUUGUUUAUAAUCAGGAAAGGAUUGAAGACCUUAGUCUCCAAAGUCAUUGAGAUUGUAAAUUUACUGAUGGCCUGCAAGAGAACAGACCAGCAAUCCCAUCUAGAUUUCCUGUCCCAGAAAUCAACCUCAGUUUUUGACUGGUAUUCCAAAUAAUUUUCUGAUCAGAUGGAAAUGAGCAACUCAAAUUUAAUGCCCACCUCUCUCUGUAUUUCAUUAAUCAUAGUGAUUGUUUUAUAUUAGUCAGCUGUGUAGCAUCCGUUUAUAUACCAUCACUGUAAAUAAAGUUGAAAAAAAUGCCAUGUUCUUCCUUAUCCUACUUGCAAAUGUGGUUUAAGGAUUUGAAUCCCUCAUUUGCAUUCCUAUGGUAGCUUAUAUGUUUAUGGUUGUAAAUGGAUUGAACU